Molecule: ribosomal RNA, 484 nt
Filed under: uncultured bacterium
Lineage: Bacteria
Description: partial 16S ribosomal RNA
Rfam family: Bacterial small subunit ribosomal RNA
Source: RNAcentral
AUUGAACGCUGGCGGCAGGCCUAACACAUGCAAGUCGAGCGGAUGAAGGGAGCUUGCUCCUGGAUUCAGCGGCGGACGGGUGAGUAAUGCCUAGGAAUCUGCCUGGUAGUGGGGGAUAACGUCCGGAAACGGGCGCUAAUACCGCAUACGUCAUGAGGGAGAAAGUGGGGGAUCUUCGGACCUCACGCUAUCAGAUGAGCCUAGGUCGGAUUAGCUAGUUGGUGGGGUAAAGGCCUACCAAGGCGACGAUCCGUAACUGGUCUGAGAGGAUGAUCAGUCACACUGGAACUGAGACACGGUCCAGACUCCUACGGGAGGCAGCAGUGGGGAAUAUUGGACAAUGGGCGAAAGCCUGAUCCAGCCAUGCCGCGUGUGUGAAGAAGGUCUUCGGAUUGUAAAGCACUUUAAGUUGGGAGGAAGGGCGGUAAGUUAAUACCUUGCUGUUUUGACGUUACCAACAGAAUAAGCACCGGCUAACUUCGUG